GGUGCUUCGGAUUUGAUAAUGGUUCAAGUUCCUUGGAAUUGGACAUCAGAGAGGGUGAUAAUCCCGUUUCGACCAAUUAUCUGUCCAUGUGAAGCCCUUUCGACGAGUCGAGUUGUUUGGGAAUGCAGCUCAAAAUGGGUGGUAAAUUUCAUCUAAAGCUAAAUAUCAGCCAGAGACCGAUAGCGCACAAGUAGAGUGAUCGAAAGAUGAAAAGCACUUUGAAAAGAGAGUCAAAAAGCACGUGAAAUUGUUGAAAGGGAAGCGCUUGCAACCAGACUUGCUCGUGGUGUUCAGCCUCCUGAAAAGGCGGUGCACUCUCUGCGGGCGGGCCAACAUCGGUUUUAGCGGUCGGACAAAAGCUCGAGGAAAGUAGCUCUCUUCGGAGAGUGUUAUAGCCUCUUGCAUAAUGCGGCCAGUUGAGACCGAGGAUAUAUGCGCUUAUGCUAGGAUGUUGGCGUAAUGGUUGUUAGCGACCCGUCUUGAAACACGGACCAAGGAGUCGAGAAAUCAUGCGAGCGUUAGGGUGUUAAACCCUUCCGCGUAAUGAAAGUGAACGUAGGUGGGAGCCUUUUUGGCGCACCAUCGACCGAUCUGAGUUCGCGAGGAUUUGAGUAAGAGUGUGAUUUCGCGGACCCGAAAGGUCAGUAUAAUAAUCCCCCCAUAUACAAAUCCACUGGAAAGAAUUUGAUUGCUAACUUUUUCUACAGAAGGUGAACUAUUGCUGACUAGGGCGAAGCCAGAGGAAACUCUGGUGGAGGCUCGCAGCGGUUCUGACGUGCAAAUCGAAUCGUCAAAGCUGGCAAUAGGGGCGAAAGACUAAUCGAACCUUCUA
Molecule: ribosomal RNA, 832 nt
Filed under: Chapsa thallotrema
Lineage: Eukaryota; Fungi; Ascomycota; Lecanoromycetes; Ostropales; Graphidaceae
Description: partial large subunit ribosomal RNA
Rfam family: Eukaryotic large subunit ribosomal RNA
Source: RNAcentral